RNAcentral lists this ribosomal RNA (425 nucleotides) under uncultured bacterium. Its description in RNAcentral is "bacterial SSU rRNA". It matches the Rfam family "Archaeal small subunit ribosomal RNA", at positions 322 to 746 of the family's 1478-position model. The record is from RNAcentral.
CCUACGGGGGGCAGCAGUUAAGGAUUUUCUGCAAUGCGCGCAAGCGUGACAGAGCGAGCCAGAGUGUUUUUCCUUUUUGGAAAAACUUUUGUGAGCUGCAAAAAGGCUUACGAAUAAGGACUGGGCAAGACUGGUGCCAGCCGCCGCGGUAAUCCCAGCAGUCCAAGUCGCAACCACAAUUAUUGGGUCUAAAACAUUCGUAGCUUGCUGUGUAAGUCUCUUGUGAAAUCUGGCCUCUUAAGGGUCAGGCGUGCAAGAGAUACUGCAUGGCUUGAGACCGGUGGACGUAAGGAGUACAUUCAAGGUAGUGGUUAAAUACGUUGAUCUUGAAUGGACUAACAACAGCGAAGGCACCUUACGAUGACGGAUCUGACAGUGAGGAAUGAAGGCUAGGGGCGCAAAAUGGAUUAGAUACCCGGGUAGUC